AUACGGAAGGUCCGGGCGUUAUCCGGAUUUAUUGGGUUUAAAGGGAGCGUAGGCCGGAGAUUAAGCGUGUUGUGAAAUGUAGAUGCUCAACAUCUGAACUGCAGCGCGAACUGGUUUCCUUGAGUACGCACAAAGUGGGCGGAAUUCGUGGUGUAGCGGUGAAAUGCUUAGAUAUCACGAAGAACUCCGAUUGCGAAGGCAGCUCACUGGAGCGCAACUGACGCUGAAGCUCGAAAGUGCGGGUAUCGAACAGGAUUAGAUACCCUGGUAGUCCGCACGGUAAACGAUGGAUGCCCGCUGUUGGUCUGAAUAGGUCAGCGGCCAAGCGAAAGCAUUAAGCAUCCCACCUGGGGAGUACGCCGGCAACGGUGAAACUCAAAGGAAUUGACGGGGGCCCGCACAAGCGGAGGAACAUGUGGUUUAAUUCGAUGAUACGCGAGGAACCUUACCCGGGCUUGAAUUGCAGAGGGAGGAUUUGGAGACAAUGACGCCCUUCGGGGCCUCUGUGAAGGUGCUGCAUGGUUGUCGUCAGCUCGUGCCGUGAGGUGUCGGCUUAAGUGCCAUAACGAGCGCAACCCCUCUCCUUAGUUGCCAUCAGGUGAAGCUGGGCACUCUGGGGACACUGCCACCGUAAGGUGUGAGGAAGGUGGGGAUGACGUCAAAUCAGCACGGCCCUUACGUCCGGGGCUACACACGUGUUACAAUGGCAGGUACAGAGAGACGGUCCCUUGCAAAAUGGAUCAAAUCCUUAAAGCCUGUCUCAGUUCGGACUGGGGUCUGCAACCCGACCCCACGAAGCUGGAUUCGCUAGUAAUCGCGCAUCAGCCAUGGCGCGGUGAAUACGUUCCCGGGCCUUGUACACACCGCCCGUCAAGCCAUGAAAGCCGGGGGCGCCUAAAGUCCGUGACCGUAAGGAGCGGCCUAGGGCGAAACUGGUAAUUGGGGCU
RNAcentral lists this ribosomal RNA (947 nucleotides) under uncultured bacterium. RNAcentral describes it as "bacterial SSU rRNA". It matches the Rfam family "Bacterial small subunit ribosomal RNA", at positions 523 to 1482 of the family's 1533-position model. The record is from RNAcentral.